CACUCCACCAGCCACUCCCUACCACCCUGGACCAGCGAUCUCAGCCCUCAGAGCCUCAGUGUCCUCCUGGGUAUCACGGGGACCAUACUGGUCACAAGAUGAUGUGAAGAUUGAAUGGCAUAAUGCAGCCACCGGUUCUGCUAUUCCCUGCUGUCUCGGAGGAGGCCUGACUCACAGCGUUCACCUGCCACUGACCAGGGCAAGCUUUAACUGUUUGCUUCCUCUGCCCAAACGGGCCUUAUAAGUCAACACAGUGUCCACUUGUUGCAGACAUGCUACUCUUUAUUAAACUGGGACAGACCAGA
This is a long non-coding RNA of Bubalus bubalis (water buffalo), 305 nucleotides long. RefSeq lists it as uncharacterized. The record is from RefSeq and is a predicted model, not a curated record. NCBI's taxonomy places the organism in Eukaryota, Metazoa, Chordata, Mammalia, Artiodactyla, Bovidae. The transcript is spliced from 2 exons.